CAGACGAACGCUGGCGGCGUGCCUAAUACAUGCAAGUCGAACGCUUUUUCUUUCACCGGAGCUUGCUCCACCGAAAGAAAAAGAGUGGCGAACGGGUGAGUAACACGUGGGUAACCUGCCCAUCAGAAGGGGAUAACACUUGGAAACAGGUGCUAAUACCGUAUAACACUAUUUUCCGCAUGGAAGAAAGUUGAAAGGCGCUUUUGCGUCACUGAUGGAUGGACCCGCGGUGCAUUAGCUAGUUGGUGAGGUAACGGCUCACCAAGGCCACGAUGCAUAGCCGACCUGAGAGGGUGAUCGGCCACACUGGGACUGAGACACGGCCCAGACUCCUACGGGAGGCAGCAGUAGGGAAUCUUCGGCAAUGGACGAAAGUCUGACCGAGCAACGCCGCGUGAGUGAAGAAGGUUUUCGGAUCGUAAAACUCUGUUGUUAGAGAAGAACAAGGAUGAGAGUAGAACGUUCAUCCCUUGACGGUAUCUAACCAGAAAGCCACGGCUAACUACGUGCCAGCAGCCGCGGUAAUACGUAGGUGGCAAGCGUUGUCCGGAUUUAUUGGGCGUAAAGCGAGCGCAGGCGGUUUCUUAAGUCUGAUGUGAAAGCCCCCGGCUCAACCGGGGAGGGUCAUUGGAAACUGGGAGACUUGAGUGCAGAAGAGGAGAGUGGAAUUCCAUGUGUAGCGGUGAAAUGCGUAGAUAUAUGGAGGAACACCAGUGGCGAAGGCGGCUCUCUGGUCUGUAACUGACGCUGAGGCUCGAAAGCGUGGGGAGCGAACAGGAUUAGAUACCCUGGUAGUCCACGCCGUAAACGAUGAGUGCUAAGUGUUGGAGGGUUUCCGCCCUUCAGUGCUGCAGCAAACGCAUUAAGCACUCCGCCUGGGGAGUACGACCGCAAGGUUG
Molecule: ribosomal RNA, 899 nt
Filed under: Enterococcus gallinarum
Lineage: Bacteria; Bacillati; Bacillota; Bacilli; Lactobacillales; Enterococcaceae
Description: bacterial SSU rRNA
Rfam family: Bacterial small subunit ribosomal RNA
Source: RNAcentral